CCUACGGGAGGCAGCAGUGAGGAAUAUUGGUCAAUGGACGAGAGUCUGAACCAGCCAAGUAGCGUGAAGGAUGACUGCCCUAUGGGUUGUAAACUUCUUUUAUAUGGGAAUAAAAUGUUCCACGUGUGGGAUUUUGUAUGUACCAUAUGAAUAAGGAUCGGCUAACUCCGCGCCAGCAGCCGCGGUAAUACGGAGGAUCCGAGCGUUACCCGGAUUUAAUGGGUUUAAAGGGAGCGUAGGUGGAUUGUUAAGUCAGUUGUGAAAGUUUUCGGCUCAACCGUAACAUUGCAGUUGAUACUGGCAGUCUAGAGUUCAGUAGAGGUGGGCGGAAUUCGAGGUGUAGCGGUGAAAUGCUUAGAUAUCACGAAGAACUCCGAUUGCGAAGGCAGCUCACUGGACUGAAACUGACGCUGAGGCUCGAAAGUGUGGGUAUCAAACAGGAUUAGAUACCCUAGUAGUC
Molecule: ribosomal RNA, 460 nt
Filed under: uncultured bacterium
Lineage: Bacteria
Description: partial 16S ribosomal RNA
Rfam family: Bacterial small subunit ribosomal RNA
Source: RNAcentral